CUGAUUUUGCACGCAAACUCCAUGCCUGCCGAGAUUUAUGGGAGAUUUUUCACGCCAAGAGGGUUUUGCACGCAAGGAAGUAUGGGCAAAAGUGGUGAGGUGGAGGGUGGAAUUCGGCUAUAAAAGGAAGGAGAUGUGGGCGAAUGGAAGCAAGGAGAAAUGGCAGCGAGCGUGAGCAAGCAUCCCAGUUGUUCCCUAAGCCAUGCCUCUACAACUUACCCCAUACCCUGUAACCCUCCAGCCACACCCUACAAGAUUUAAGCGACGCCCUGCCAGACUUGAAAGAAAAUUAGCAAGAAGAUAUGGGGUAGGGAGAAUUGAGAGAUUGACUUAUCUCUCAUUAAUUAAAUGUGGUACUAUAUAUAUAUAUAUAUACGUACGCAAGUGUGGCCAUGCCCUGUGAACUCUCUGGCCAUGCUCUGUAAAUGCUGUAAUCUUCACGCUAAAAGGAGGGAUGGCCGAAGGAAUUGAGGGUCGGGGUUGCCUAUAAAUAGAAGAGGAAGUGGAGAGCAAAUGCAAGAAAUGUAGAAGGAAAGGAAAGCUUGGGCAGGUGGCCAUGGCAGCACCUCGAGUGGAGCAGGGCAACAGCAGCAAGCUGCGACGGUGUGCGGAUGCGGGGCCGAGGCAACCUCGUACGGUGGUUCGUGGCGAGAGGCAGCUUGCUGGCGAGCUGGUGCGGUGAUGGAGUCCGAGAGGCGGCCAAGAGCAGCAAGCCCGCGGCCAUGGUAGCCAUGGCCGCGAGCUCACCGAGCUGGAGCAGCUACCACGGUGAUGGCAGCAGGGUGCGAUGCGAUGAGGAGCUUCAACGCACGGUGGUGGCUCACGGCGGGAACGGUGGCUGGCGGCGGCCGAUGGAGGGCGAAGGUUGGCUGGUUGGCGGUGGAGCUGUGCGCGCAUGAAGCUGGGCGCACGAAGAAGCUACAGGGGCGAUGCAGAGAAAGAAGAAAGAGGAGAAGAAGAAGAAGAAGAAGAAGAAAAGAAGGAAGAAGAAGAAGAGAAGAAAAAGAAGAAAGAAGGAAAAGGAGGAAGAAGAAGAAGAAGUUGUAGGCGCAGGAGGCGGGAAGAGGAGGAAGAAGAAGAAGGGAGGAGAAAGAAAAGAAAAAACGAAAAGAAAAGAAAAGUAAGAAAGAAAGAAAAGAAAAGAAAUGGAAAAAAAAAAGAGAAAAAUGUUGAAAAAAUCUCAGAAAAAUCCCAAAAGAUAGGAAACUAUAUUUUGAUAAUAUGUCGGAGAUUUUGGGGAGAAAAAUUGUCCAGGCACGCUUUUCGAGAAUGUGGCACGCAUACUGAGGAAGCCAAUGAAGCUAAGUUAAGGAUGCUUUGAGGGGUAAGUUGAAGAGACUUGUGCAAAUUUUGAGGUUGGCACGCAAAUCGAGGUAAGGCACGGAUAUCGAGGUAGCCCGAUAAGCUUGAGAAGCUUUGGCCGUCGGCUAUAGCAAAACUUAAAGUCAUGGCCAUCCGGAGAUGGCCAAGCAAUCGAAAAGCCACGGUCAGAGGGAUUGGAAUCAGCGACAAUGCCGGAGGAUGAAAACAAGAGA
Long non-coding RNA from Diospyros lotus (date-plum), 1535 nucleotides. RefSeq lists it as uncharacterized. The record is from RefSeq and is a predicted model, not a curated record. NCBI's taxonomy places the organism in Eukaryota, Viridiplantae, Streptophyta, Magnoliopsida, Ericales, Ebenaceae. The transcript has 3 exons.